GUGCGGCCGCGGCCGCCGCUGCGGGAGGGUUGGGGGAGGAGUUGGGAGUUUAGCGCAGACGCCGGAGUGCCAGGACAACGACCAUCCGGCCCUAGCCUGGCCGGGCGGGAGCCGGGAGCUUCCUUUUCUCAGAGCGGUCCGAAGGUGGCUCGCCUUCAGCGCCUGCUUCCGUCGACCUCGUCCUCCUCCCUGCUCCGGAGGAGCUGCGAGAUGUGGCGCCUCUGACUCCGCUUCUCCCCGCCCCUGUCACCGAGAGGGGGAACGAGCUCUCGCCCACUCGCCGGAGGAGACGGCCCUGGACUCCCAACCCCGCCGGCGAAACCAUGAGCUCCGUCCAGCAGCAGCCGCCGCCGCCGCGGAGGGUCACCAACGUGGGUUCACUGCUGCUCACCCCGCAGGAAAACGAGUCCCUCUUCACUUUCCUCGGCAAGAAAUGUGUGACUAUGUCUUCAGCAGUGGUGCAGUUAUAUGCAGCAGAUCGGAACUGUAUGUGGUCAAAGAAGUGCAGUGGUGUUGCUUGUCUUGUUAAGGACAAUCCACAGAGAUCUUAUUUUUUAAGAAUAUUUGACAUUAAGGAUGGGAAACUAUUGUGGGAACAAGAGCUAUACAAUAACUUUGUAUAUAAUAGUCCUAGAGGAUAUUUUCAUACCUUUGCUGGAGAUACUUGUCAAGUUGCUCUUAAUUUUGCCAAUGAAGAAGAAGCAAAAAAAUUCCGAAAAGCAGUUACAGACCUGUUGGGCCGUCGACAAAGGAAAUCUGAGAAAAGACGAGAUCCCCCAAAUGGUCCUAAUCUACCCAUGGCUACAGUUGAUAUAAAAAAUCCAGAAAUCACAACAAAUAGAUUUUAUGGUCCACAAGUCAACAACAUCUCCCAUACCAAAGAAAAGAAGAAAGGAAAAGCUAAAAAGAAGAGAUUAACCAAGGCAGAUAUAGGAACACCAAGCAAUUUCCAGCACAUUGGACAUGUUGGUUGGGAUCCAAAUACAGGCUUUGAUCUGAAUAAUUUGGAUCCAGAAUUGAAGAAUCUUUUCGAUAUGUGUGGAAUCUCAGAGGCACAACUUAAAGACAGAGAAACAUCAAAAGUUAUAUAUGACUUUAUUGAAAAAACAGGAGGUGUUGAAGCUGUUAAAAAUGAACUGCGAAGGCAAGCACCACCACCUCCACCACCAUCAAGGGGAGGGCCACCUCCUCCUCCUCCCCCUCCACACAACUCAGGUCCUCCUCCUCCUCCUGCCAGGGGAAGAGGCGCUCCUCCCCCACCACCUUCAAGAGCUCCCACAGCUGCACCUCCACCACCGCCUCCUUCCAGGCCAAGUGUAGCAGUCCCUCCACCACCACCAAAUAGGAUGUACCCUCCUCCACCUCCAGCCCUUCCCUCCUCAGCACCUUCAGGGCCUCCACCACCACCUCCAUCUGUGUUGGGGGUAGGGCCAGUGGCACCACCCCCACCACCUCCACCUCCACCUCCACCUGGGCCACCGCCCCCCGCUGGCCUGCCUUCUGAUGGGGACCAUCAGGUUCCAACUACUGCAGGAAACAAAGCAGCUCUUUUAGAUCAAAUUAGAGAGGGUGCUCAGCUAAAAAAAGUGGAGCAGAACAGUCGGCCAGUGUCCUGCUCUGGACGAGAUGCACUGUUAGACCAGAUACGACAGGGUAUCCAACUAAAGUCUGUGUCUGAUGGCCAAGAGUCUACACCACCAACACCUGCACCCACUUCAGGAAUUGUGGGUGCAUUAAUGGAAGUGAUGCAGAAAAGGAGCAAAGCCAUUCAUUCUUCAGAUGAAGAUGAAGAUGAAGAUGAUGAUGAAGAUUUUGAGGAUGAUGAUGAGUGGGAAGACUGAUCUAUAUAUUAUAUAUAUAUAUUUUUAAGCUGCACUGUCAAUGUAAAGACCGGGAGUUCUUCCAAGGACCACAAGGACAAACAAUGCUUCAAAUCCAACUUCCUGGCUUUAUUAUUGAUGAGAGAGAGGGAGAUCCUAACUUGGUUGCAUGUAUUUCAACCUUACUGGAAAAGAGGCAGGAAAAUAAAAUGUGGAUCUCAUAUUUGUGGAACAAAUACAAGAAACAAAUGAAAAGGCAUUAUCAUGUCCGGUUAACUAUGGGAAAACAAAGCUGUUCAUGUCUCAGUUCUAUAGUUGUCUUAAAGGCAAGUAUAAUUUAGCUCCUUAAAUCAGCGACUGACCUAAUUUUUUUUUUUUUAGCCAGGGUGGGAAUCUAAGGAGGCAGAGAACAGAAAGGAGAGUUUGUGUUUGUAAGCAUAUUGUGGUGAUCAGGGGAAUGCUAGCAAGUAGAAUUAAGAAAUGCAUUUGAAUCUCCAUUUUGAGGGACGAAAACUAGUUCUGGAGGAGGAGAUCAUAUUUGUGUUUUGUUUAUUGAGCAAGGAUGUGAAUGCAUAAGGGCCAAACUUUUCCUUAAUUGUGUUAGCUAAAGCUCAAAACUACACCUGACCAUUCAAGUGUAAGGGUUUUUUUUUUUUUUUUUUUUUUUAAGUUUUCUGAACUUUGCUAUAGAUACAAGCAUAACCCUAGUAUUUCAACCACAUUCUUUCCAACCCACCAGUAAAUGGACCUUAUGAUUCCAUUUAAGAGGCCUUGCUUUGGCCAUGGUUGAAUGUCUGGAUGCUAUAGAACAUGCUUAUAAUGGACUUGCUGCCCAGAGAUGUUUAGGAAGUUCAAGUAGAUUCUGAGCCAGAUGGUUGUUUGAGAUCUGCACCAGUGCGCAAAAGUUCUAUAGCCAACAUACUGCAUUAACUUGACAUGGUUUAGGCCAGUUAGACUGUGCAAAGAGAGGUAGUCUGCGCACACUACAUGAGCCCUUUAGCACCCUAUUUGCUUUAGCACUUUCAUCACUUUGUUUUCCGAAAACUCAAAACAGCGGAAAAACUGAUUCGUUACGGGAAUCACGGAUCUCAAAAGAUAGAAACUGCAUGAUGUUGAACAGGCAACUAGAAGAAACAACAGGUUUCAGAGAAUUAUGGCAUUGCUUCUCAGUCUUCAGUUAUUACUUCUCUUCAAAGCAUUGGUUUACUUUUUCUCUGAAUAUUAUGGUAAUAACCUUCAUUCUGCUUACAACUUGGAGAAUUUAUCCAAUGCAAUUUUGUUUUAUAGUUUCUGCCAUUCCCUCCUUCUGUCCCCCCGUUACAGCAAUGAGUACUAGUUUUCAAGUGCAGGUAUUAAGAGGGUAAUGAGGGGGGAUAUAAAAUGCACAGAGGAGGAUUUGCUUUUUCAUAUAUGGGUUCUAUAACUUGUAAGUGAAUAGAUAUUGGAGGAUGGGUGCACAGUGAAACUUUCAUGGACUUCUUGUUAGUAGUAACAAGAACACCUUCAAAUAUUCAUCCUACUUUGCAGUAGCAGUAUGUGUAUCAGUCUGUGGUGGUAUUUUUCUAAAAUACAGUUUCCAGAGGGCGCAAUUGAGCCACUUAGUUUCAUUUCCCAGUGUAGACUGCUCUCUGACUUCCUGAGGGUGGCAUCUUCAGGCCCUGUCUCCUUUCUACGAAGUGAUGGUAUGUGGACUCUCACCUAGUUUCAAACUGGACUAUUUCAUGACAGCGAUGAAGCCAUUUAGAGGGGCUUCCAAAAGUCCCAUGGCUGUACUCACCCCACUCCCAGACCUUCAUCACCAAAAUGUUUUUCCUUUGAGGAAAAUCAUAUUGAAAAGAAUUCUCAUAAUACUAACUAGUAUUUAUUGGAACACUUAUUAAGUGUUGCAUGCUACAUGAAAUGGUUUAUAUGAGUAAGAUAUCCAAUAUUUCAGCCAAAGCAAAUGAAACUUAGAUUAAAUAAUUUGCACAAAUUUAAGUAGCGAAUAAAUGUCAGAGCUGGGCUUCAAAAUAAAGUCUGUCUUAAUACAAACCCUUCACCACUAUAGUACCCUGCCUACCAGCUAGCAUUAAGACACCGGAGAUGGUCUGGAUGCAAAAAUAAAAUGGUUAUUCCAAUAUCUACUUCAAAUGUGGAGGACUUGGGAUUUUUCUGCUUAUGCACAUGCAAAGACCCAAAGAAAAAUGCAGUCACACUGUGAUUUAAAAAAAAAAAAAAAUGCAACAGAAAGGAAAAUACAUUAUAAUCAUGCAACUAAACCAGCAGCCACUAAGGCAAGUUUUAAGAUUAGAACAGCCCCAGAUUUUUUGGAGUACAUGAAUAGAAUUUUAAAAAUAUUUUAUCUGGUUUGCUCAUCCCUGAUCCCCAUUCCCUACUUCACCACCAAUGAAAUAUUUUUUCCACUUGAAAGAUUAGGUAACUGGUAUGUUUGAGUAAUCCCACAUGCUUAAUAAAUGAUUACAUAACAGUU
RNA transcript from Symphalangus syndactylus (siamang), 4290 nucleotides. It is a transcript of the gene named WASP like actin nucleation promoting factor, with no coding region annotated. NCBI's taxonomy places the organism in Eukaryota, Metazoa, Chordata, Mammalia, Primates, Hylobatidae. The record is from RefSeq and is a predicted model, not a curated record.